GUUGAUAUGGUGUGAUAUAUACAUUUUACCCGAGUAGGCCGAGGUUUAGCAUUUGUUGUGAACUUUCGUGUUAUACUCCCUAUUUUGGCAUGUUUUCUGUUAGACUAGCUCUUCGGAACAAUUGACGUGUUUUCAAUUGGAUUAGGUCUUCUGAGCAGUUGGCGUGUAUCUGUUGGAUUAGCUCUUAUGAUCAUUUGCAUGUUUUUGGAUGGAUU
Molecule: long non-coding RNA, 215 nt
Filed under: Gossypium barbadense (sea-island cotton)
Lineage: Eukaryota; Viridiplantae; Streptophyta; Magnoliopsida; Malvales; Malvaceae
Description: long non-coding RNA (GBAR_LNC007462)
Source: RNAcentral